Varroa destructor (honeybee mite) is the source of this 2866-nucleotide RNA transcript. RefSeq lists it as uncharacterized. The record is from RefSeq and is a predicted model, not a curated record. NCBI's taxonomy places the organism in Eukaryota, Metazoa, Arthropoda, Arachnida, Mesostigmata, Varroidae.
CAUGUCGUGCAGCUUUAUCGCUCGCUCAUAUGGAACAUAUAAAUACAAACAGAAGUAAGACGAUCGUGCGAAUUCGCUGAUCAAUCCCAGUAGUCGAAAACAUUAAGGCAGAUGUAAGCCGAUUAGCAAAGUCAAUCACGCUGUCCUCGAGUACGUGUGACCAAUGGAGAGAUUCUCCGACAAUUGGCUCUAUAAUGACAGAUUUAGACAGCAGACGCCCUUGCCAUGCUUUAUCAGUGGCAAGAAGUGCCUUCAACAGAGAUAUCCCGAACUGUGUUUUUGGCCCUAUACUCUCGAUAGCUCAGACAAUCGAGACAUACGGGUAAGUUUCGAUAGUGGCGCAUGCUGCGUCCGAAACUACCGCAUCGCCCGACGAUCAAAAUGCACGUAUCGCGGGUCUGGUCCACUGCAUCGCGCUGUUACAACGAUGAUGCACGACGUGAAUGGGCUCGAACAAGAACUAAUGGCCGUCAACUUUCAUAUUCAAGAAUUGGACAGAAAACCUCGGAAUCAAGGGGCGCAAGGGAAACUAAAAAAGCUCUUCGUUCGAAGAGAUCAAAUACUCGAUGAAUUGAAUAAGCUGUACUCUGUAUUCGGCCACACAAGAAUCUACCGUGCCCAUCCAGGAAUAUAGUUCUCUGGAUCAAUUGACUGGACGAAAUCGGAACAAUUAAAUAAUGUGGCGUAUUUAAUUGUUUCAGGUGGAUCGUCGUUUUUCCAUGUAAACCGCUAUCACGCACUCUCUAUCUGAUGUUUUGCGCAUGCGUGGCGUUUGAUUUCUAUGCUUCGGUGAUGACGACUCUCAUAGUAGAAACUAGCCUAAUCCAAAAUGUGUCGAUAAUGAAUUGAUGAAAAAAAAUCAGACACUGCAGAAUGGUGCGUUGCCAGGCAAGCAGCUGCGGUGUAUAUUCUUUCUCUGUGUAGUAGUUUAUUACAUAGCAUUGUUCGACUUGCUUUAUUAUGGAACGUGCAUUGGAGGUUCACUGUACCGCACCUAAUACCGCACCCCAAAAAUAGAAAAAUACAAUACCCUUCAAUUAUAUCGUCAUGACAUUUGGACCGUGUGAUUAGUUGUAGGAAGUAAAAGUAGCUGACCUCAACUUUGAACGAGAGUGACAGUGUGACAGAAGUUAUUACUACUGAACAGUAUAAAAAACGGUGUAAAAUAGUGAAAACAUGAUCUUCUACGGGCAAUCUUCUGGAUUCCAAGCUGGUUCCAUUAUACGAACAAGUUCUGUUGAAGUUAGCAUAUGAUGCUUUGACUUUUGUAUGUGUAUGUAAUGUGUGCAGUAUAGUGCAACAGAACUCGAGUGAGGUAAAGUGUCGGGAAAUCGAUAAAGCAAAUUUGAGAAAAACAAAGGACGCAAUGAGACCCAAGCAACUGAUACUUAAGUGAAACGAAAUAUGGAACGGGACCCACGUAAACAAGAUUCAGGUCUAUUAUCAAUGAGCAAGCGACUGACCUAUCGAGUAAAUUGGUUAACACAAAAAUCCUGUAUGAAGGAACACGCAUUUCCCCCGCAUUCAUUGUGUCAUUGAACGAACUAGUCCUACAGCUGGGCGAACGACAGCAGGCAAUGAGAUCACUCCCUACACGUCUUUUAUCUCCAUCUCAAACACCAAAUGCUACGAGCGAGCGAGCUAGCUACAUGAAAUAUGCGAAUAUCUACUGGAUUUAGCAGUCAUCGUAAUGUCGGUGACGUGAUCUGGACAUGCGUUAUAUAGUGACAUGGUUCAGCGACGGAAACGCCAGUAAUCUCAUGAGAUGUAGCACGUCCGUCCAUCCGCAGGAAGCAGAUUGAACCGAAAAUCACCGGGCAUCCAUCUUCAAUUGACGGUCCCACUUCGGGUUUUAACUGUUCAGUUUAGACUAACAAGUCUUGAAUUUCGCUUGAGAAUAUCCGAGCUCAUCGGGUGCUGCCUGUUGAGACCUUCGUAGUACCUAAAGAACAUUUGUAGGCUUUCUCAAAUUCGGCUGGGCGGCAAAGAGUCAUAAUUCAGUUUCGGAUUUUUUUGUUCGUUCGGCCAGAAUAACUGAGGAAGUUUUCGGGAACAAUAUACUAGCUAGUUCGGUAGAAAUCUCGUACCGAGUCGACCAACGAAUGCGUUUCUGCCCAACGAUUGAUCAAUACUUUACGUAGUUUACGAGCGAUCCAUGUAUCGGGGCUACGACGACAAUCUGAAGAGGAAACGACUAGAGAGGGCCACGUCUGAAGGAGCAUCAAAGUGUUAGAUCAACGACUUCAUCGGCGCAGAUAAGACGACGGUGAGGACAGGCUGCGCCAGACGUAAGUAGAUAUAUGCAGAAAAGUCACAAUGAUUUCUGACAUCUCGACGAUCGCAGCUGAGGACAGUCUAUUAUGCGAUCUGACGAUGUAGUGAGCCCUCAUCUUCGUCGCUUCAUGAUGUUAAAUUUUGCACAUCACUCAGAAGAACUGAGCGGUCAUUUCAAGGAGUAUCACUUCAAUAGCCAUUUAUUGACUGUCUGAAGAGUUCAAAAACAUAACGACGCUGGCUGCAGCAGCAGCAGCAGCGUCAAACGUUUAAGAACCCAGUUCGCACACCGUAUUCCUCAACUACGCCGUUGGCCAAAUAGCACUUCGAACCGUUAGCAAAGCUUGGUCAGAGAAAAGUGAAAAAAAUGAACGCAUCCCCGUCAGCGAUUGUCAAUAGUCCACACUGCACACGUUCACCUGAGAUCGAACAUCGUAAUAGCUAACUUUUACGUUUACUGACUGCGUACAUGAAAUAGUUGCGUGUUUUGCCUGUCACUAUUUUUUGUAUAGCUAUUUUUGAAAGAAAUAUACUUGCUAAUUUCAAAGAACUGCUAUCUUUCCUCAGAUUAAUUUAUUAAGAAUACGUUUUG